Molecule: long non-coding RNA, 9950 nt
Filed under: Solanum tuberosum (potato)
Lineage: Eukaryota; Viridiplantae; Streptophyta; Magnoliopsida; Solanales; Solanaceae
Description: long non-coding RNA (STUB_LNC009759)
Source: RNAcentral
GUUCUUCGCCAUUUUGUCUCCUUUAAUCUUUUUUCAGUUAUACAGUAUUUUACUAGCUGAGAUUUCUUGCUGAAACUUCUGUUUGACCAGUAGAAGAUAAAGGAAACAUCUUCAUCUACUUGGCUUCACUUUACUCAGGUUAAUGCAUUUUCUCUUCCUUGUUCUUUAUUAAUGUUUUAUUGGUUGGAUUUUCUCGAAAUUUACUUGAUUCUUGGAAUGGAUGUUCUAGAUUUAAAUAAAACUUCCAAUUUUAGCUAGACAAUCUGACUAAUUUAAACACCCAUUCUUUUGCCCUUGCCUCCCCUAUCGUUAGCUCUAAUUUGUUGACACUUUUUGAGAGACUAAACAGUUAGCAAACCCAAGAUGUUAGCAAUUUUUACUGGAGCAAAACAUUAGCUCGAACUUUGGUACCUUUUCUCCACAGCCAAAUUGCUUCUCUCUGAAACCCAAGUUAUGGUUGUUAUUUUCCUUAUACAUAUAUAUUGAAUUACCCUCCAACAAUAACAUACAGAGAGGAAAGUGUACACAGACCUUAUGGAACUUUUAGUUUUUUAGUAGGAAAAAAAUUCUUUUUCUUGUCCUUGCCCCAAAAUAUAUAACCUAUCAAACAUUGAAUUUUGUUUUGAAUUAGGAUACUACUCCCUCCGUUCUAUAUUAGUAGAUCAUUUUCUUUUGUAUAAACAUAUUAAAAAAUAAUAAAUGAGAAGACAAUAUUACUAAUUUAUCCAUUAAAUUUUUUUUGGAAAUUUUACAAAAUAUUUUUAAAAGAAUUAAUUGCAAGGAUAAUAUAUGAAAAUUUUAAUUAAUUCUUUCUUGAUUUAGUAAGAUGGACAACUAUGAAUAAUUAUUUUUAGUAAUAUGAUCAAUUUAAUAUGGGAGACAACGUUCUCUAACCCCUCUCUAACUAGCAGCUCAUUUAUUGAGCAUUCAUUAAAAUUUUCUGACGCAAUUGUUUUCAAACACCAAAAUUAAUUUCAUAUUUUUUUCUUGAGAAUAGCUUCUGUUGCAUGUUUUUUGUGUUUUCCUUUAUAAUGUUUCAAAAAAAAAAAGCAAGUACCUUUUGUCUCUUUGUCUUAUUAACAUCCAAGAAAAAGUUGAAAGAUACUUUAUUUAAUAAUACUCUACCUUACUAAAUAGUACAUGUAGUAGUAGCGUUUUCCAACUUUUCAAUGGAUGAUAAUUUUUAGAGAAAAUGGCCAAAUGACCCCAUUCUAUUAGUGGAUUUUCAAUUAAACACUUAUAUUUUAGGAGUGUCCUAUUACCCCUUUAAACUAUUUUAUUGUAGAAUUAUUUGCUCCCUACUGCUGAGUUGGCAAAGAAAGUGUAAUUCACUUUCUCAAAGAGAGUGAGAUGCAAACUUUCUUAUUUUUCUUUUUCAUAUUAAUUUUUUGAUUAUUUAAAAAAAAAAAUAUGUAUACUACUUUUUACUUUUAUUUAUUUUUUCCAUUUUAUUUUCUUCCUCUUCUUUCUCUAUCUCUUCAACACUUUGUCUGAUUUAAGUUGCUGAUUUAAGUUGUCUGAAAAAAGUAUAAAAUCACCUCAUGGUUAAUAAUAGUUACUACUAACGAUAUCUCCUUUGAACAUAGAAAUCGACUUCACUUGAAAAAAUAGGAUACGAGAUCAAAUUAAAAAUCAACACUUUUGCAUAGCAAAGUGUUCAUAAGUUGAAGCACAAGAAUACAAAAUUGAACAAUAUAGAGGAAACCCAGUUGAGUAAAUAAAGUAACAAAGCAUCAAAGUCAAAAGUAGUAUCUUUUAGCUAAAUUUUUACUACUUCAAGUAUAACAACGCACAAAAUUAAAGAAACCCAGAUUCGAAUCAAAUCCGAAAGUUGAUUAGUGAUUACUAUACAAGUAUAUCAACAUCAAAUUCUUUAACAUGAACAACCCAAAAUAUUUUUUCCUUUUAAAUUGUUGUGAGCCAAAUCAAUAUGUUUACGAUUUUGAAAAUCCGUAAACUUUCAAGGAUUUCACCAAUCAAAUUCAUAUCUCAUUCAAAUAUACUUCAUUUUUUAGCUUCCCAAACUCCGACAAUAUUCUCAUCGGAGAACACUCAUUAAAUACCAACCUAGAUAUUCAAGAUUGGCUUGUAUAAGAAAAUUGAGAACUUCUCCGAAAAUAAUUCAAACAAAGAUUAAGAAACUAAUUUUUUUGAGGUUUUAGAAAUGGAACUUGGAAUUUCCACUUUAAUGGCGAAAAAUUUGUAGUCAAAGAAAAGGAAAAAGAAAAGAAGAAUGGGCUGAAAUAGAAAAGAAAACAAAUUUAAAAGGGAAAGAGAUUAAAAAAAGUAGAAUAAUAAUAUUUUAAUAAAAAAGUACAAUAUAUUUACGUGGCAUCGCGCGUUCAGCCCAUCACUUAUCACAAAUCUAGGUGUGACUUUUUAAGGGGCAAUAUUUUCCACUUUUAAAAUGUUUAGGAAGGUAAUAGGACCCCCGUAAAGUAUAAGUCUGUAGUCGAGAAUUGACUAAUAGAUGCUCAAAGAGAAGUCUAGUAAUUUGACUUUUUAAAAAAAAUCUUAUCAACAUUCAAGGUAAAAACAAAUAAAUAAGUAGGCACAAUGAUUAUACUUAUAUAAUUUGACACUGAAGAGAGCUUAAGAGAUAUAAUGAAACACGAUUUUCAACAGUAUUCCGUAUUCAUAUUUGUUGACUUUUAGUUAUGACAUCAUUUUUUUUUGACAUAAAUAGGGUCAACAUAGCAACAAUUGGUUUGUUAAUAACUUAUGUAAAUCAAUAGGCACUAUAUUUGUGACUAUAAUUCACGUAACUCAUUAACAAUAAUCAAUCAAUAUUCUUGACCUUGCUUUCGUCAAUUUUGUUUUAUUCAUCCAAUAUAUGAAUUCCUUUUCCCUUUAUUUCGCAAGUAAAAAAAAUAUUAUUUUAUCUACAACGAAGCUUUAUAUUAUUUGAGCCAAAAGUGUUGCAUUAUUUGAGCCAACGAUUUUACGUUGCUCAUGGAGAAGACUUUACACUGUCUAAGUCAAAGGCAUUGUAUUAUCCGAGUCAAAGACUUUACACCAUCUAAGACAGAAUUUACAUGGUUUAAGACAAAGUCAUCAUGCCGUCAAAGACAUUACAUGUUUUAAGCUGAUGGCAUCAUGUCGUCCAAGCCAAUGAUUUUACACCGUCCAAGGCAAAGACUUUACAUGAUUUAAAUUGAAGACAUCAUGUCGUCCGAGAAAAAGACUUAACACCAUCUAAGGAAAAGACUCUACAUGAUUUAAGUCGAAGGCAUCAUGUCAUCUAAGCCAAAAAAAUUACACCAUCUGACGCAAAGACUUUAUAUGAUUGACAAAGACUUUACGUCACCUAGACUAUGCAUAAUUCACGCUCAAAGAAAUAAUCAUUCAUUAGUUGGAUUCAUAAUCCUGAUUAUUGAAUUACUAACUUAUGUGUUAAUAAAACAUUUUUCUUUUUCUCUUUUGUUUGUGAAGUUUGAAUCAUGAUUUACUUAAAAGAUUUGACCUCCUCUUCUUCUAAGUCGUGUUUAAUAUUGGAUCAUACAUGAUAGUUAGGUGGAGACCAAAUUGCUUAUAGGUAUGCCAUUAGGUUGUCAAUAUAUUGCUACAUGGCCAUCUCCAGGGACCUUCCUAGGUUUGAUGAUUGGAUUGUAGAAUAUAACAAUCGUCCUCAUAAGACGUGGUUACUCUGCUCUCCCAAUCAUCGUACCAAAUAUAUUGCAAGUUCUUUACUAUGUUUAGGACAACGAAUCGAAAAUGGAAUGGCCCUUUCACUUUUGAUGGAGUGUUUCACUCCAUUCCAGGUUAUUGCGUGUGGGCUAAAGAUAUCCUUAGUAGGAGUCGCAAGGCUUUGAAGGAUGCAAAAAUAUAUGAUGUUGUGUAUGGUUCAAUUUUUACCUAUGAUUGUAACACUAACAUCCUGGCAGCCUUUUGUGAAUCUUGGUAUCCUGUUACAAACACAUUGCUCACCUCAAUCGGAGAACUAUCUGUAUAACUUUGGGACUUACAUGUGAUUGGUGGUCUACCCAUAACAAGAAGUCUUUAUGAGGAGGUUGUGUCAAACGUUGUGAAACUCGCAAGCAUAUUUGACAAGGGAAAAAGGUUUCUCCCCCAAUCUCGUGAGCAUUUAUUUGACACCUUUCAUGAGCUUUGAGAAGAAAAUAAUGAUAAUCCUAAUGUUUCUGUGGAAAAUGGGUAGAAUUUUGAUGUAAGAAAGAUACAAAGUACGGAAAACCUCGUCAAGAAAGGAAAAGAAGUCCGCUUGUUUCAAAUCAUCGCACAAUCCAACUAGGGUAAUUGAUGAGUCUAUUAAGUGGUCUCCUUCUAAAGAAUACAUGUUCUUUAAGUUAGAAGUUAAGAAUAAUAAGACCGACGAAACAUACUUGGUAGCCUUUUUGUCUUGCUAGUUGUGUAUAUUCGUGCUUCCUAUGAAGGAUGGCGGCUUUAUUCGUCUAGGUGUCUUCAAAAACGUCUUUUAUUUGGAAUGUGGUGAAAGAGUUAGCCUUUCAAUUCUAGUCUUUAGCUAGCAGUUACAAAGGUAUAAACACAAUUUUGAGAUGCUCGCAACUUGAUCUCGUCCAAACUUGUUUGUCAAUCCAUUAUGUGUAUGGUUGGUUGCCCUAUUACUUCAAAACUCAUUAUCCAUCAACAUGUGGACCAACUAAUCCCCUUAUGGCUACCUUUUCUGGUGAAGGAGCUGCAAGACAUUUUGGAAAAGAGGAUGCAAGAAAGUACAUACAUGAAGGAGGAACCAUUGCCUGGGAUGCAACGUUGAUCGAUACACCUCAGGCACUCUACUAUCCUGAUGACGACACUAAAAUAAAGUUUCAAUGAAACUUCUUUAUGAGUGUUCUGUCAAACUAUCUGACUUUAAGGGAUGUAAAUGCCUUUAUCAUUAAUCCCUAUAGUCCUCACAUAUUCGGCCAUCAAUUUUGCUUUUUCCAAGAUGAUCCUGGUCGUUUAGAUCAAGAUUUUUGUGAAGCUUUACCAGAAGAUGGAUUAAGGCUUGCAUGAAUUGCGUGUUGACUAAAUCCAGGGCAGGAGCGAUAUUUUCCCCUAAUGGAUCCAACAUAAAGAAUUUUUUUCGCUAAAUUAUAAAUCCGGGUGGGAAAAGGUGCAUGUGAACUUUCUUGAAAAGCAUAUGCAGUUUCUGGUGAAUGUUGUUAGUCCGCCCUUCAAAAUUAUGACGAAGAGGUCUUAAUUUUGAACCAAUCUCUUGUUCUAAUGUCUAAAGUUAUUGUUCCACACAAGAUUAAAGGGCCUCCCUAUCAAGAAGUCCGAGGAGAAAAGUUUUCAACUCAAACUCAUCAGACUUCUCACAAGCGACUAUCUCAAGAUGAGAGUAGUAAAAGCCAUGGUAGUCGUUGUUGGAAGAAAGUGAAACGACCUUCAGACACGCCAUAAGAUACUUUGCAUGCGGUGGAGAUUUCUGAUAACAAUGUAGUUCUUUAAGGACUUUGAUAGCUAUUAAAGAGGUAAUAAUUUAAACUUUUUUGUUGUCCCAUGGUGCCAAAUGACCUCAUUAAUUAUUAUUUGUCUUCUUUCUCAUUUUUUCCAGUCAAACAAUGUCAACAUGUUGGAAUUUUCUUAUCAAAAUAAGCCACAAGAUAGUACUGAAUCUGUAGAGGUGCCAAAUUCAAGGAAAUCAUUUUUGACUCUUAAAUCAUAAUAAGAGGCUACUUCUAUUUCUCAUGAAAGAACUACAACAAAUUUCAAAUUAAAUUCCCACAAAUAACAGGCAAAAUCCAUGUCUAUUUUCGAUGGAAGGAAGGUUGUCUCGACACUUCAGAAGGAUUUUGUCAAAGGAGCUUGGACUAAGAUCCGUUCUAAACUUGUUGACCAUAAUACAGCCCUUGCUUCCUUUCUCAAGGAUGAGGUUCAACUAAUUCUUAAAGAUGUAGAUUUCAUGGGUGUGGAUAUUUCCCCUUUGAAGAGUUUGUUGGAGUCUUUCUUUAAGAUGGACUUCUUCUAUGACCAAGCACGAUCGUCCCUUGCUGAUAAGGCCGUGGCACUUGAAAAAUCUUAGUCAUAUUUGAAAGACAAGAAACACUUUUAUCUUGUCUUGAAUGAAAAGAACGAGAAAUCCGAAGAAUAAACGAGAAAUUCGAAAAAUCUGAGUCAGACUCUUCGAACUUCUCAUUCUUUUCAUUGAAGACAAGAUCAAUGUGUUCCCUGGCUUUAGAAUAUGAGUCAUAUUUUUCAAGUUCCACGGACUUAUUAGCAAGGGAUGAUCGUGCUUGGUCAUAUGAAGAGUCAAAUUUAAGAAAAGAUUCCAAUAAAUUCUUCAUAGGGGAAAUAUCCAUACCCAUGACGUCUAAUAUUUAAGAAUUAGUUGAACCUCAUCCUUAAUAGAAGAAGCACAGUCUACAUUAAGGUCAACACGUUUAGAAUGGAUCUCAGUCUAAGCUCCCUUCCCUUGACAAAUUCAUUUUGAAGUUCCAAGACAACCUUCCUUCCAUCAAAUAUGGACAUGGAUGUUGCAGGUUGUUUGCGGAAAUUUAAUUCUACAUUUUCUGUAGUUCUUUCAUAAGAUACAGAAGUAGCCGCUUGCUCUUCUUUAGGCGUCAAAAAUUGAUUUACUUGAAUUAGGUCCCUCUAAAGAUUCAGUACUAUCUUGUGGCAUAUUUUGAUAAGAAACUUCAAACAGGUUGACAUUGUUUGGUUGUGAAAAAGGAAGGAGAAUAAUAAAAAUAAUAAUUAGUGAAGUCAUUUGGUAUCAUGGGAUGACAAAAAAAUUUAAAUUAUUACAUGUUUAAUAGUUGUCAAAGUCCUUGAAGAACUAACAUUGUUAUGAGAAAUCUCCACUAUAUGCAAAUUAGUAUAUUUUGGUGUGUCUGAAGAUGGUUUCACUUUCUUGUAACAACGAUCAACAUGGCUGCUACUACUCUCAUCUUGAGAUGGUCGCUUGUGAGAAAUCUUAUGAGUUUGAGGUGAGCACUUUCCUUUUUGAAGUUGUUCAUAGGAAGGUCCUUUGAUCUUGUCUAGAAUAAAAACUUUAGAAUUUAAAAUAGGAGAUUGGUUCACAAUUAAGACCUCUUGGUCAUGUUUUUGAAGGGCUUCAAUAGUCGGUCAAACAACAUUCACCACGAACUACAUAUGAUUUUCAAGAAAUUUUCCAUGCAAUUUUUUCGACUAGGACUUAUAGUUGGGCAAUGGAUAUUUCUUCCUGUUGGAUCCAUUAGAAGGAAAUGUUGCUCUUGCCCUGGAUUUAGUCAACACACAAAUUUGGGCAAGCUUUAAUCUAUCUUCCAAUGAAGAUUCACAAAAAUCUUGAUGUAAUCGACCAGGAGCAUCUUGGAAAAAGCCAAAAUGAUGGCUGAAUCUGUGAGGACUAUAAGGCUCAAUGAUAAAGACAUUUUCGUCCCUUAAAUUAAGAUAGUUUGAGCACACACUCAUAAAGAAAUUUGAUUAAAACUCAUUUUUAUUGUCGCGUCGCGAUAGUGGUGUGCAUGAGGCCUAUCGAUCAAUGUUGCAUCUCAAUCAAUAGUUCGGCCUCCAUGUAUACUCUUCCUUGCAUCCUCUUUUCAAAAUACCUAGCACCUUCUUCACCAGAAAAGGUAGCCAUAAGGGUAUUAGCUGGUCCAUCUGCUAAUUGAUCAUGAGUCCUGAAGUAGUAGGGCAACCAACCAUACACAUAAUGGAUUGGAAAAUAAGUUCGGAUGAGAUCAAGUUGCGACCAUCUUGAAAUUGUGUUUAGGCCUUUCUAAAUGUUGGCUAAGACUGGGAUUGCAAGGCUUACUCUUCACAUGCAUUCCAAAUGACAUGUGUUUCUGAAAACACUCAGACGAAUAAAACCGCCCUCCUUCAUAGGUAGCAUGAAUAUAUAUAACCAACAAGACAAAAAAACUACCAAGUAUGUUUUGUCUGUCAUGUGAAUCUUAAAUUCUAACUUAUGGAACAAGGCUUCUUCAGAAGGAGAUCAUUUGACAGACUCAUCAAUUACCCAGUUGGAUUAUGUGAUGAUUUGAGACGGGCGAACUUCUUUUCUUUUCUUGGCAGGGGUUGUUCGUACUUCGUAUCUUUCUUCCACCAAAAUUCUAUCCAUUUUUCUACAGAAAUAUUCAGGUUAUCAUUAGUUUCUACUCAUAGCUGAUGAUAUGCAUCAAAUAGAUGCUCACAAGAUUGGGGGAGAAGCCUUUUUCCCUUGUCAAAUGUGCUCACAAGUUCUACAACAUUUGGCACAACCUCAUGGUAAAGACUUCCUUUUUAUGAGUAGACCACUAAUCACGAGCAAGUUCCAAAGUGAUAUAGAUAGUUCUCCGACUGAGAUGAUCAUUACAUUUGUAAUAGAACACCAAGCUCCGCAGAAGGCCUGCAAAAUGUAAGUCUUACGAUCAUAUGUAAAAAGUGAACCAUACACAACAUCAUAUGUUUUUGCGUCUUUCAAAGCCAGGCGACUCCUACUGAGGACAUCUUCAGCCCACUCCAAAUAACCUAGAAAGUGGUGACACUCUCGGUAAAAUGUGAAUGUAUUAUUCCAUCAAGUCUCUCUAUUUAUGAUUCGUCGUCCCAAACAUGGUAAAGAACUUGCAAUAUUUUUGGUAUGAUGAUUGGAAGAGAAAAGUACCCCAUGUCUUGGAAAGACGACUGUUGUAUUCAAAAGUCCAAUCAUCUAAACCAGGAUGGUCCCCUAAAGAUGGUCAGCAUACUGAGCACCUAAUGUCGUACCUACAUGCAAUUUGCUCUCCACCUCACUAUCCAUAUUAUCCGAUAUUACAAGAUAUCAUGACUUGAAAGAAAAGGACGUCAAUUCUCUGAAGUAAACCAUGAUUCAAACUGCACAAACAAAAAUUAAAAAGAAGGGAAAAGUGUUUUAUAAGCAUCAACUUAGUAAUUCGAUAAUCAGGGUUAUGAAUCCAAAUAAUGAAUGAUUGCUUCUUUGAGCGCGAAUUAUUCAUAGUCUAGGUGAUGUAAAGUCUUUGUCGAUCAUGUAAAGUUGUGAUGCCUUCGGCUUAAAUCGGACUAUUUGCUUUAGACAUCAUAAAGUAUUUGGCUCGAACAACAUGAUGCCUUCAACUUAAAUCAUGUUAAGUCUAUUCCUUAGACGGUGUAAAGUCUUUGGCUUGGACGACAUGAUGCCAUCAACUUUAAAUAUGUAGAGUCUUUGCCUUAGGAAGUGUUGAGUCUUUGGCUUGGAUGGCGUGAUGUCUUUGGCUAAAAAAUGUAAAGUCUUUGUCUUAGACGGUGUAAAGUCUUGGACUAGGACAAUACUUCAGACAGUGUCAAGUCUUCGCCAUGAGUAAUGCAAAAUUGUUGACUCAGACAAUGCAACAUCUUGUUGAAAAUUUAUAUCUAUUAAUAAAGAUGGUCAAAAACAUUUAUUACAAAUUAUUGACCUAUAUUACUUUAGUCUAAUUAAUAUUAUAUUAGUAUAUAUUUUUUAAUAGUGUGGCCAACGGUUUGUUUUUGUUAAUAUGAUUGACAAUGGUUAAUUUCCUUUAUGGCAUUGAUCAAAUACUCUUGAUUUGAUAGUUAUUUGCACAGAUUUAAAGGAAUAUAUGGUAGUUAUUAUAUAGCCUUUAUGGCAUUUAUGCACCUAUAUAUUUAUAUAUAGUAUGUUUGUGUGUUAAAAAAGGAAGGGUGGGAAAAAGAUAACAAGGAAAACUUUUCUUACUUAGUUUAUUUGUUCGGUUUUGUUAAGUUAAAUAUCUUUUUAUUAGUUUCAGGCUCCUAGUUUUAAUACUAGAGGAGAUUGUUGAAUCCGGAAAGAUACACCUUAAUCGGUGAAAUAUCUUUAAGGACAAUGUCAUAGGCACACCUCAAACUACAAAAAAAUUUCCAACAAUCUUAAGGAUAUUUAUUUUAUGAGUAUGGAACACAGAAGCAAUUAUGAAAUUUUCCAUCUACUAUCAAAGGGUUCUCUACACGAUAUUCAUGAUUAGAGAAGAGCACCUAAAAGAAGCAAAGUUAUGGACGAACAAGAAAAAUCAGAGGAGACAUCACAAACCCACUUCAUUUUAGUGUAUGGAAUUAGGUUGGAGUUGGCAACUUGG